CUUGCUUUAUUUAUAGCGUUUGUUGAUUUCAAACGCUAUAUUUGUUAUCUCGGGAAAAUAAAAUUUUUUAGCCGCCUUAGUUUGCUAGAGCGAAUGUAUACAAUAAGGGUUCGUAUCAUCACUCUCUCUUUGGCUCCAAAAUCAAUAUCGAAACACUCGGUUUACUCUACGACAAUCGCCGGCAGCCGCUACGAGUGGUCGAAUCAAAUGGAGGUGGGGUUAGAUUCGUUUCAGAGACAAGUCGCCGAAAGGUUUAUCGAUCUAAAUUCAGGAGAAGGAUAGUGUGAAUCCAAGCACGGCUGCUUCAAGCACAUAAGCCAUGGAAUUGGAGAAGCCAAAGGAAAAGCAGAACAAGGAAGGAAUUAGUUACAUCGUCAGCCGCGAAGCCGUGGACUCAUCAGCUCGUCUCCAGUAUCCUUCGCUCCUUACCCAGAUUAUUCUUCAAUUUUCCACUUAUAAUGUAUUGAAGGCCUCAGGAAAGAAGUGUAUUCACAGAACAACGAGGAGGUCUUGGGAAAUGGUUUGACGCCAUCUGCAGGCUGCAGCUGAUGUUGUUGUGUAUGCAGAUUUGCAUUCUUCAGUGCCAGGUCCUGGGAAGGUGAAGACAGCGAUGAUGUUGAGAAGGAGAUUUCUCGGCAAGCUUCCAAAGCCCAGUCUGUUAAAGAAGGUAUUGUAAGAAUCGAUAACAUCAGUGGAUUGCCUGAUGAACUGUUGGUGAGGAUACUAUCGUUAGUUCCAACAUUCACUGCUUGUACUUAUGGAUUUUAUCAACAAGAAUCUGCCAUUACAUAGAGCUCCUGUCAUAGAAAGCUCACGUCCUUCUUUAUGGGAGUCAAGGGUGAAAAUAUUAAACCUGAAAAUAUCAGAAUGUGGGUUGAUAUUGAUGUAUAUUGCUAUCUACGUAAGCUGGACGUUUCUUAUUCUUCGGUUAAGAAAGAAAACAUGGUUCCCAACAGCUUGUUUACUUGCAAAACGCUUGUGAUCUUGAAACCUUGAACCAAUACAUGUCUUUUCAUAUGUAUAACAUAAUUAUACUUUCA
Molecule: long non-coding RNA, 1040 nt
Organism: Brassica oleracea var. oleracea
Lineage: Eukaryota; Viridiplantae; Streptophyta; Magnoliopsida; Brassicales; Brassicaceae
Exons: 4
Source: RefSeq, a predicted model, not a curated record